RNAcentral lists this ribosomal RNA (657 nucleotides) under fungal endophyte. Its description in RNAcentral is "eukaryotic LSU rRNA". The stretch from base 175 to 328 matches the Rfam family "5.8S ribosomal RNA". Lineage: Eukaryota; Fungi. The record is from RNAcentral.
UACUGAGUUUACGCUCUAUAACCCUUUGUGAACAUACCUAUAACUGUUGCUUCGGCGGGCAGGGUCUCCGUGACCCUCCCGGCCUCCCGCCCCCGGGCGGGUCGGCGCCCGCCGGAGGAUAACCAAACUCUGAUUUAACGACGUUUCUUCUGAGUGGUACAAGCAAAUAAUCAAAACUUUUAACAACGGAUCUCUUGGUUCUGGCAUCGAUGAAGAACGCAGCGAAAUGCGAUAAGUAAUGUGAAUUGCAGAAUUCAGUGAAUCAUCGAAUCUUUGAACGCACAUUGCGCCCGCCAGCAUUCUGGCGGGCAUGCCUGUUCGAGCGUCAUUUCAACCCUCAAGCUCUGCUUGGUGUUGGGGCCCUACAGCUGAUGUAGGCCCUCAAAGGUAGUGGCGGACCCUCCCGGAGCCUCCUUUGCGUAGUAACUUUACGUCUCGCACUGGGAUCCGGAGGGACUCUUGCCGUAAAACCCCCCAAUUUUCCAAAGGUUGACCUCGGAUCAGGUAGGAAUACCCGCUGAACUUAAGCAUAUCAAUAAGCGGAGGAAAAGAAACCAACAGGGAUUGCCUCAGUAACGGCGAGUGAAGCGGCAACAGCUCAAAUUUGAAAUCUGGCCCUAGGCCCGAGUUGUAAUUUGCAGAGGAUGCUUUUGGUGC